Molecule: ribosomal RNA, 426 nt
Filed under: uncultured bacterium
Lineage: Bacteria
Description: bacterial SSU rRNA
Rfam family: Bacterial small subunit ribosomal RNA
Source: RNAcentral
GUGGGGAAUAUUGCACAAUGGGCGCAAGCCUGAUGCAGCAACGCCGCGUGAGUGAUGAAGGUCUUCGGAUUGUAAAACUCUGUUCUUGGGGAAGAAUAAAUGACGGUACCCAAGGAGAAAGUCCCGGCUAACUACGUGCCAGCAGCCGCGGUAAUACGUAGGGGACAAGCGUUAUCCGGAAUCACUGGGCGUAAAGGGUGCGUAGGCGGUUUAACAAGUCAGAAGUGAAAGGCAUUGGCUCAACCAAUGUAAGCUUUUGAAACUGUUAGACUUGAGUGCAGGAGAGGAAAGUGGAAUUCCUAGUGUAGCGGUGAAAUGCGUAGAUAUUAGGAGGAACACCAGUGGCGAAGGCGACUUUCUGGACUGUAACUGACGCUGAGGCACGAAAGCGUGGGGAGCGAACAGGAUUAGAUACCCUAGUAGUCC